This 270-nucleotide unclassified non-coding RNA is filed under the name Hevea brasiliensis (rubber tree). Lineage: Eukaryota; Viridiplantae; Streptophyta; Magnoliopsida; Malpighiales; Euphorbiaceae. The record is from RNAcentral.
GAAACAGAAGCAGCAUCCAAUAGCCUGAACAAGAAGAAGAUGGAUACAAAGAGACUUUUCUGACUUUCUGCCAAAAAUUCUUAAAUAAACAUUGACAACUGUUCCAUCAUUAGUCCCGGUUAGCAGUCCUGUCUGAGGAUCAAACCUAGGCAGACGAUGCCGUGGGCAAUAAACAUAGCCAGAAAGCUGAACAAGCAGAAUCACAUAUUAGACAUCCUAUUGGAAAACCAGAGAUUCAGAACUAGAAAGAGACGAGUUAUCGGAUCAAAC